RNAcentral lists this unclassified non-coding RNA (501 nucleotides) under Caulerpa lamourouxii. RNAcentral describes it as "Caulerpa racemosa var. lamourouxii sequence contains ITS2". The record is from RNAcentral. Lineage: Eukaryota; Viridiplantae; Chlorophyta; Ulvophyceae; Bryopsidales; Caulerpaceae.
ACGUGGAGAAUCUACCUUCGCGAGUAGAGGAGGAGAGUCGAAAAGGUUUUCGUAGGUGAACCUGCGAAGGAUUUAUCGGCAAAUUCACAAACCUACUCUCUGAGUGGUUUUUACGGGGUUGGGUUAUGUUUGGUACAAAGGCCUCUAUGGUAAGGUGUGGAGGUGUCUAAUAUACUAAAGAAUCCGAGUGGGGGGCCCCGCUUCCGGGGUGGUGAAGGGAGGUGCAAAAAUAAAAGGGGUGGCGAUGGAGGAUUUCGGGAGUCAAGAAAAAUCCGAUGCAUUGUGGCCCCUCCGCAGUCCGGUGGAGAGGGGGGCGUCGCCACCAUCGGCCUAUUGUGGGCCUCUCCAGUCCUCUUUUGUCCCUCUCUCACGGGGAGAUUGUUGUCUAUGGAACAGCGGGUUCAGUGAACAUGAAUUCUCUUCUACUGGCUUUUCUGGUGAAGACUCCCUUCUUCACUAUCGGCUACUGACUGAGAACACGACAGACUGUGACUGGAUACU